Molecule: non-coding RNA, 21 nt
Filed under: Xenopus tropicalis (tropical clawed frog)
Lineage: Eukaryota; Metazoa; Chordata; Amphibia; Anura; Pipidae
Also listed under: 26 other names
Source: RNAcentral
CUACCUGGUUGAUCCUGCCAG